Molecule: ribosomal RNA, 539 nt
Filed under: Bifidobacterium bifidum
Lineage: Bacteria; Bacillati; Actinomycetota; Actinomycetes; Bifidobacteriales; Bifidobacteriaceae
Description: bacterial SSU rRNA
Rfam family: Bacterial small subunit ribosomal RNA
Source: RNAcentral
CUCCUGGAAAACGGGUGGUAAUGCCGGAUGUUCCACAUGAUCGCAUGUGAUUGUGGGAAAGAUUCUAUCGGCGUGGGAUGGGGUCGCGUCCUAUCAGCUUGUUGGUGAGGUAACGGCUCACCAAGGCUUCGACGGGUAGCCGGCCUGAGAGGGCGACCGGCCACAUUGGGACUGAGAUACGGCCCAGACUCCUACGGGAGGCAGCAGUGGGGAAUAUUGCACAAUGGGCGCAAGCCUGAUGCAGCGACGCCGCGUGAGGGAUGGAGGCCUUCGGGUUGUAAACCUCUUUUGUUUGGGAGCAAGCCUUCGGGUGAGUGUACCUUUCGAAUAAGCGCCGGCUAACUACGUGCCAGCAGCCGCGGUAAUACGUAGGGCGCAAGCGUUAUCCGGAUUUAUUGGGCGUAAAGGGCUCGUAGGCGGCUCGUCGCGUCCGGUGUGAAAGUCCAUCGCUUAACGGUGGAUCUGCGCCGGGUACGGGCGGGCUGGAGUGCGGUAGGGGAGACUGGAAUUCCCGGUGUAACGGUGGAAUGUGUAGAUAU